This 525-nucleotide ribosomal RNA is filed under the name Triticum aestivum (bread wheat). Its description in RNAcentral is "partial small subunit ribosomal RNA". Lineage: Eukaryota; Viridiplantae; Streptophyta; Magnoliopsida; Poales; Poaceae. The record is from RNAcentral.
AUGAGCUGGAACGUGCGCGGGCUCAACUCGCUGGCCAAGCGCGAGGCAGUCCGGGAGGUUGUUGCGGCUCACCGCACGGCUAUCCUUUGCCUCCAGGAGACCAAACUGGACGCGUGGAACCCAAGUCCGGUUCGCGACAUCGGCGGAGCCGCGCUGCUAGGCUGCGCGGUGCUCCCUGCCAUCGGCACGCGCGGCGGCGCGGCGAUCCUUUGGAACAAAGAUGUAGUCUCCAUCGACACGCACGCAGUAGGAGAAUUCGCGAUCACGGCGAAAGUAGUGGUGGCCUGUAAUCGAGCAACCUUCUGGCUCACUAUGGUCUACGGGCCGGCGAGCGAUGCUCACAAGGAUGCGUUUCUCGCCGAACUAGCUAGAACAGCUCCCCCGCCAGACAAUCCUUGGCUCAUCAACAGCGACUUCAACCUCAUCUAUGAGGCUAGAGACAAGAACAAUCAAAACCUAAACAGGAGGAUGUUAGGUCGUUUUAGGGCGGCUAUCGACAACGCAGGCCUACGUCAAAUGAAGUGC